This 829-nucleotide ribosomal RNA is filed under the name Litomosoides hamletti. RNAcentral's name for it is "eukaryotic LSU rRNA". It matches the Rfam family "Eukaryotic large subunit ribosomal RNA", at positions 65 to 674 of the family's 3401-position model. Lineage: Eukaryota; Metazoa; Nematoda; Chromadorea; Rhabditida; Onchocercidae. The record is from RNAcentral.
CUAACGAGGAUUUCCCGAGUAACGGCGAGUGAAAAGGAAAAAGCCCAACGCUGAAUCCAAUAGAUAACGAUGUACACUAUAUGGAAAUGUAGCGUAUAGGUAUAAUUAAUCGUGACGUGCUUUCACACCCAAAGUCCCCUUGAGCGGGGCUACAGUCCAUAGAAGGUGCUAGACCUGUACGGGUGGAGGAGAGUUACGAAGGAUUAUACUUUGGAGUCGGGUUGUUUGAGAUUGCAGCCCAAAGAGGGUGGUAAACCUCAUCUAAGGCUAAAUACGACCACGAGACCGAUAGCAAACAAGUACCGUGAGGGAAAGUUGCAAAGAACUUUGAAGAGAGAGUUCAAGAGGGCGUGAAACCGCUGAGAUGGAAACGGAUAGAGUUAACGAAACUUAUCGGUAUUCAACCAUUCAAUUUAGCAACUCUUGCACACAGCACACAUGUAUAUAUGCAUGUAUGCUUGUUUGUAGGAUUUUAAAGUGCUAGAUUUAGAUUGGUGUAUUUACCGGUAGUAUGCAUCGAGAGCUUCGUUUAUAGCAUAUUUAAGAGUUAUUUAGUGGACUAGUUAUUGAAAAUGUAAUAAUUAGAAUCCUAAAUAGCACCUGAAAUAUGUCUUAGAUGAAGUGUGUUCUCUCGCGCGCUCGCUAAUGCACUUGUAUUCUCUACUAAUUAUGUAUUUGCAUGUGGUCGCAUGUGCGACUUGAUCAGUUAAUAAUAGUUAGUAGAGUUUGCAUAGAGUGUGUUAUGCGUGUAACAAUACAGUUACACAAUACAUCUCGGUGUGAACGUUAAUCACCUAUCUGACCCGUCUUGAAACACGGACCAAGGAGU